AGAAUCCAUUUUGUAACACUUCAAGAUUUAUGAUUUAUGAUUUCCAUGCUUGAAAUUAAAUGUAUUCAUGGUCAUGAUAGUAAUUGAGAUCCACUACAUGUUUAAUUAUAAGUUUCCAUGAAAUCAAGAUAGUUAUGUGGUGAAUUAUAUGAAUUGUAUACUUAACCGUUGAACUUGAAAUUGAAUUUGUAUUCAUGAUUGCAUGUGUUGACCAUUAUCAUGUGAAAUACUCCAUGCUCC
Molecule: long non-coding RNA, 240 nt
Filed under: Capsicum annuum
Lineage: Eukaryota; Viridiplantae; Streptophyta; Magnoliopsida; Solanales; Solanaceae
Description: long non-coding RNA (CANN_LNC005407)
Source: RNAcentral